AGUGAACGCUGGCGGCAGGCCUAACACAUGCAAGUCGAACGGCAGCACAGUAAGAGCUUGCUCUUACGGGUGGCGAGUGGCGGACGGGUGAGGAAUACAUCGGAAUCUACUUUUUCGUGGGGGAUAACGUAGGGAAACUUACGCUAAUACCGCAUACGACCUACGGGUGAAAGCAGGGGAUCUUCGGACCUUGCGCGAUUGAAUGAGCCGAUGUCGGAUUAGCUAGUUGGCGGGGUAAAGGCCCACCAAGGCGACGAUCCGUAGCUGGUCUGAGAGGAUGAUCAGCCACACUGGAACUGAGACACGGUCCAGACUCCUACGGGAGGCAGCAGUGGGGAAUAUUGGACAAUGGGCGCAAGCCUGAUCCAGCCAUACCGCGCGGGUGAAGAAGGCCUUCGGGUUGUAAAGCCCUUUUGUUGGGAAAGAAAAGCAGCAGGUUAAUACCCCGCUGUUCUGACGGUACCCAAAGAAUAAGCACCGGCUAACUUCGUG
This 492-nucleotide ribosomal RNA is filed under the name uncultured bacterium. Its description in RNAcentral is "partial 16S ribosomal RNA". It matches the Rfam family "Bacterial small subunit ribosomal RNA", at positions 29 to 507 of the family's 1533-position model. The record is from RNAcentral.